Anopheles aquasalis is the source of this 1041-nucleotide long non-coding RNA. RefSeq lists it as uncharacterized. Lineage: Eukaryota; Metazoa; Arthropoda; Insecta; Diptera; Culicidae. The record is from RefSeq and is a predicted model, not a curated record.
CAACGGGAACGAACAGAUUGCACCUGAUCGGAAUACCUCGAAUCCGGAACACCCGCGUGCUUGCGAUAAAACAAGUGGCUCGGUUGUGUUUAGCAGAGCAAAGUGACCAGGUGAUCAGCAAAGGGUGAUCGGGCUGCCAAGUUGCCUCGGCCUCUUGCGGGGGCGGGCGGAUUUUCGCGGGCGACAGCGUUGCAGGAAAUACAAUAGACGAUUGUGGAAAUUUACACACAGCUAAUUGGAACCAGUGACCUUAGUAGCCGAGUAGUGGCAGAGGGCUAUAUACUCGGAUAAUCUUCCAAAAGCCCGGGAAGCAGGAUUGAAUAGCCGUUCAUCCUUACAGAAGAAGAAGAAGAAUCAAUGUAUCGUAGAGUGAAUCAAAGGGCGAGGCCGGGGCCUAGGCCGAGGGCGAGCCCUAGACCGAGGCCUAGGCAUGACGAACAACAAGUAGAGGAAUUACAUGUUAGAACCCUUCAAGAAGAACUGGAAAGAGCGCUGGGCGAGCUGGAGGAGCUGCAAAACGGCGUUUGUGCGCGGUGCAGAACCAACGAGGAUCGGGCCGCAACGCUGAGAACGGAUAACAUCGAUUUAAGGGAGGAAAAUUGCCUUCUUAAAGAAGAUAAGGAGCGACUAGAACAGGAGAAUAGAGAGCUCCGGGCACAGCUGAAGGCACGAGCAUCAUCCCCGCGAAGCCCGAUUAAUAUUAGCUAGAAAGUAUCUAUCACUAUUUUCCGUAGAUAGCAUACACUUCUUUGAGAGCCAUACCGUAUCAAACCGCUACCGUACCGUACCGCUCACUAUCUUCCCUCCGGUUUUGAAAUCGCGGAUAACGCCACGUGGUAAAUCGUGGUGGUGCAAGAAAUACUUCAAAGAUUCGUGCUUUGGUAGGUCUUUUAGUGCCCAGCUUGAACUUAUGAAUUAAAUGGGAAUUUUCAUACUGAUCUACACUCAAAUUGCCUUACGCCCCAAAUCUAUUCACAUCUUCCAAAAUGUGUAAAUGAGAAUGUUUCUUAAUCGUAUUACGCUUGCCGGUGUAUUUCGAUA